GGCUACGAGGACGAACGCGUGGCGGCGUGCCUAAUACAUGCAAGUCGAGCGAAUCUGAGGGAGCUUGCUACCAAAGAUUAGCGGCGGACGGUGAGUAACACGUGGGUAACCUGCCUGUAAGAUUGGGAUAACGUACCGGGAAACCGGAGCUAAUACCGGAUAAUAAUUGAACCGCAUUGGUUACUAAAUUUGAAAGAUGGCUUCUCGCUAUCACUUACAGAUGGACCCGCGGCGCAUUAGCUAGUUGGUGAGGUAACGGCUCACCAAGGCAACGAUGCGUAGCCGACCUGAGAGGGUGAUCGGCCACACUGGGACUGAGACACGGCCCAGACUCCUACGGGAGGCAGCAGUAGGGAAUCUUCCGCAAUGGACGAAAGUCUGACGGAGCAACGCCGCGUGAACGAUGAAGGCCUUCGGGUCGUAAAGUUCUGUUGUUAGGGAAGAGCAAGUGCUAGAGUAACUGCUAGCACCUUGACGGUACCUAACCAGAAAGCCACGGCUAACUACGUG
Molecule: ribosomal RNA, 510 nt
Filed under: uncultured Bacillaceae bacterium
Lineage: Bacteria; Bacillati; Bacillota; Bacilli; Caryophanales; Bacillaceae
Description: bacterial SSU rRNA
Rfam family: Bacterial small subunit ribosomal RNA
Source: RNAcentral